GCGUGCCUAACACAUGCAAGUCGAACGGAUUUGAGGGGCUUGCUCCUCAAGUUAGUGGCGCACGGGUGAGUAACGCGUAGAUAAUCUGCCUGAUGAUCCGGGAUAACACUUCGAAAGGGGUGCUAAUACCGGAUAAGCCCACGGGGUCUUUGGAUUCUGCGGGAAAAGGGGGGGACCUUCGGGCCUUCUGUCAUCAGAUGAGUCUGCGUACCAUUAGCUAGUUGGUAGGGUAAUGGCCUACCAAGGCUACGAUGGUUAGCUGGUUUGAGAGAAUGAUCAGCCACACUGGAACUGAGACACGGUCCAGACUCCUACGGGAGGCAGCAGUGGGGAAUUUUGCGCAAUGGGCGAAAGCCUGACGCAGCAACGCCGCGUGAGUGAUGAAGGCUUUCGGGUCGUAAAGCUCUGUCGAGGGGAAAGAAGUGUAUUGUGGCUAAUAUCCGCGAUACUUGACGGUACCCCUAAAGGAAGCACCGGCUAACUCCGUGCCAGCAGCCGCGGUAAUAC
This 507-nucleotide ribosomal RNA is filed under the name uncultured Geobacter sp. RNAcentral describes it as "bacterial SSU rRNA". It matches the Rfam family "Bacterial small subunit ribosomal RNA", at positions 42 to 526 of the family's 1533-position model. The record is from RNAcentral. Lineage: Bacteria; Pseudomonadati; Thermodesulfobacteriota; Desulfuromonadia; Geobacterales; Geobacteraceae.